RNAcentral lists this ribosomal RNA (166 nucleotides) under Croton polyandrus. RNAcentral's name for it is "5.8S ribosomal RNA". It matches the Rfam family "5.8S ribosomal RNA". From Rfam's summary of the family: 5.8S ribosomal RNA (5.8S rRNA) is a component of the large subunit of the eukaryotic ribosome. It is transcribed by RNA polymerase I as part of the 45S precursor that also contains 18S and 28S rRNA. Lineage: Eukaryota; Viridiplantae; Streptophyta; Magnoliopsida; Malpighiales; Euphorbiaceae. The record is from RNAcentral.
ACGACUCUCGGSAACGGAUAUCUCGGCUCUCGCAUCGAUGAAGAACGCAGCGAAAUGCGAUACUUGGUGUGAAUUGCAGAAUCCCGUGAACCAUCGAGUUUUUGAACGCAAGUUGCGCCCAAAGCCUUCCGGCCGAGGGCACGUCUGCCUGGGUGUCACGCAACAU